GGAGCUGUGGCACAGCAGUAGAGCAUCUUCUUGGAAUGCAGAAGGUCUAGGUUCAACUCCCAACACCUCCA
RNAcentral lists this transfer RNA (71 nucleotides) under Sphaerodactylus townsendi. RNAcentral's name for it is "tRNA-Ser". It matches the Rfam family "tRNA". Rfam says of the family: Transfer RNA (tRNA) molecules are approximately 80 nucleotides in length. Their secondary structure includes four short double-helical elements and three loops (D, anti-codon, and T loops). The record is from RNAcentral. Lineage: Eukaryota; Metazoa; Chordata; Lepidosauria; Squamata; Sphaerodactylidae.